AGCGGCGAACGGGUGAGUAACGCGUAGGAAUCUACCUAGUAGAAGGGGAUAGCCCGAGGAAACUCGGAUUAAUACCGUAUACGUCCUUAGGGAGAAAGAGGGCUUAGCUUUGAUGCUCUCGCUAUUAGAUGAGCCUGCGUAAGAUUAGCUUGUUGGUGAGGUAAAGGCUCACCAAGGCGACGAUCUUUAGCUGGUCUGAGAGGACGAUCAGCCACAUUGGGACUGAGACACGGCCCAUACUCCUACGGGAGGCAGCAGUGGGGAAUAUUGGACUAUGGGCGCAAGCCUGAUCCAGCUAUACCGCGUGUGUGAAGAAGGCCUUCGGGUUGUAAAGCACUUUAAGUAAGGAAGAAAAGAGUAUUGUUAAUACCAAUACUCCGUGACAUUACUUACAGAUUAAGGACCGGCUAAUUCCGUGCCAGCA
Molecule: ribosomal RNA, 424 nt
Filed under: uncultured marine bacterium
Lineage: Bacteria
Description: bacterial SSU rRNA
Rfam family: Bacterial small subunit ribosomal RNA
Source: RNAcentral